This 468-nucleotide ribosomal RNA is filed under the name uncultured bacterium. RNAcentral's name for it is "partial 16S ribosomal RNA". It matches the Rfam family "Bacterial small subunit ribosomal RNA", at positions 28 to 507 of the family's 1533-position model. The record is from RNAcentral.
GACGAACGCUGGCGGCGUGCUUAACACAUGCAAGUCGAACGGAAAGGCCCUGCUUUUGUGGGGUGCUCAAGUGGCGAACGGGUGAGUAACACGUGAGUAACCUGCCCUUGACUUUGGGAUAACUUCAGGAAACUGGGGCUAAUAACGGAUAGGAGCUCCUGCUGCAUGGUGGGGGUUGGAAAGUUUCGGCGGCUGGGGAUGGACUCGCGGCUUAUAAGCUUGUUGGUGGGGUAGUGGCUUACCAAGGCUUUGACGGGUAGACGGCCUGAGAGUGUGACCGGCCACAUUGGGACUGAGAUACGGCCCAGCCUGCUACGGGAGGCAGCAGUCGGGAAUAUUGCACAAUGGUCGGAAGCCUGAUGCAGCCACUCCGCGUGCGGGAUGACGGCCUUCGGUUUGUAAACCGCUUUCGCCUGUGACGAAGCGUGAGUGACGGUAAUGGGUAAAGAAGCACCGGCUAACUACGUG